This is an RNA transcript of Cryptomeria japonica (Japanese cedar), 1607 nucleotides long. RefSeq lists it as uncharacterized. Lineage: Eukaryota; Viridiplantae; Streptophyta; Pinopsida; Cupressales; Cupressaceae. The transcript is spliced from 4 exons. The record is from RefSeq and is a predicted model, not a curated record.
GUGCAAAAAUUAUGGGAUGAAAACAUAUGAUGAGCUUCCUAUCGAAGGGAAGGAAGAGAUAAAAGAAGUAAUGCAGGUGUACAAUAGAAGUCCAUUGAGGGAGGAGAGAAGGAAGAAGGUUUUACAAUUACUGGGAAGAAAGAAACUUGGAAAAGAGUACACAUAAUUAAGCUAUCCUAAGCUGUUGGGAAGGUGGUUUGUAAUAGUGGAGGUGAUGGUGAAGUGAAUAUGGAAUUGGAUGUUCCACCUGCAACAAAUGUCUUACUCAAUGAGUGUGCAACUCCUUCUUUGGGGAGGCAUAAAAAGAUGAAGGUUGCCACAGAUAAAAGGUUGACUUCGGAUGAGGGCACAUAUUUGGCACAGAAGGUUAAUGUUUGUUCAUAUAUGUGUUUGCAUUGCAUAGUGUUAUUUGUACUCCAUUGUCUUCUAUGUUGAUUGUUCCAUCUCUAUUAUGCUAGGAUUAUUUUGAUGGGGUUUGUGGAGGGAGCGUGCAGUUGUUAGGAGAUCUGGCUGACAACAUAUGUAGUGGGCUAGAAAAAGUAUCUCGUAAACCUCGAAUGUCCAUUAGGACGAAGUGCCUGAAGGAGAUGACAAAUGAAAACUUGAGUGCACGCGGAGACAAGAAGAAUGCAAGUCAGUAUCUUGAAUUGGGGUAGACGUUGGACAAUAUAAUCAAACAUGAACAUCUUACUGCCACAUAAGGAAGCAUGGAUGGCAAGAAACGUUCAAUGGGAAACUACAGUGGCUUUACAAAUGCAAACCGCGAUGGUGAUGAAGGGGAUGAUGUGGGUCAGCCAUCUAUUUUAGUAUUUUUCUAUCAUGUUGAAAUGAAUUGAUUUAGUUAUGUGGAUGGUCAGCUAUAAAAAAUCUUAUUUACGUUACUGCAUGCAUACAUUACAACUGUAGCCAACUGUGCAAGAUGAAGAAUAGUGCGUCGAUGAAGAUGUUCACACUCUUGCUAUUGGAGAUGAAGUCCAACUACAAGUCGAUGGGGAAGUGAUUGGGAAAGUUAUUGUUGAUGGGGUUGGGAGUGGUGUCCUAUGUCACAACAAACCACUCCGACAAGGUUGUGCUAAAAUAUGAAUCGUGGAUGUCUUUGAUGAAAAUGCCUCACUGCCUUAUCUGCAUGCCUUUUUUGACAUCUUAUCGGACUCCCUAAACUCGUGGGAGGUGUGGGGUAUCAAAGACCUCAUCUGUCCCCCAUUUGUGGUUAAAGUUGUCAAAAUCGCCAAGCCAGAAAAUCAGGAUGUUAAAUACAAUCCUGCGAUUAGACGGACAAGUGCGAGGCUUCGAACACUUGGUAUCACCCCUCCUAAGUUACAUAGGAACCCGAAGAAGCAUAAAGUCUUCUAUUCUGGUGUUGACUCCAUGGCACAAACGAGAAAGCAGAGGCGAUAAUAUAUUUUUACUAUGUGCGUGGGCCAUUUGGGCCUCAAAAUAGAAGCUUGAAAGCUCAGAAACUAGAUAGUAAUAUUUCUAGCCAGAUACUCUACUAGAAGACUACUCUUCAAAAAUUUGCUUAAACAUUAUUUACAUGUAUCUGUGAACUAAUGCAUUCCACGGGAAACUGUGGUGCAACACCUUAAUAUGCCUCAUAAUAUAGUGCA